Molecule: ribosomal RNA, 945 nt
Filed under: uncultured bacterium
Lineage: Bacteria
Description: bacterial SSU rRNA
Rfam family: Bacterial small subunit ribosomal RNA
Source: RNAcentral
GAAUUACUGGGCGUAAAGCGCGCGUAGGCGGUUAUGUAAGUUAAUUGUGAAAGCCCAAAGCUCAACUUUGGAACUGCAAUUAAAACUAUUUAGCUAGAGUUUGAUAGAGGAAAGCGGAAUACAUAGUGUAGAGGUGAAAUUCGUAGAUAUUAUGUAGAACACCAAUUGCGAAGGCAGCUUUCUGGAUCAUUACUGACGCUGAGGAACGAAAGCAUGGGUAGCGAAGAGGAUUAGAUACCCUCGUAGUCCAUGCCGUAAACGAUGUGUGUUAGACGUUGGAAAUUUAUUUUCAGUGUCGCAGCGAAAGCGAUAAACACACCGCCUGGGGAGUACGACCGCAAGGUUAAAACUCAAAUGAAUUGACGGGGACCCGCACAAGUAGUGGAGCAUGUGGUUUAAUUCGAAGAUACGCGCAGAACCUUACCAACACUUGACAUGUUCGUCGCGACUUUAAGAGAUUAAAGUUUUCGGUUCGGCCGGACGAAACACAGGUGCUGCAUGGCUGUCGUCAGCUCGUGUCGUGAGAUGUUGGGUUAAGUCCCGCAACGAGCGCAACCCUCACUUUUAGUUGCCAUCAUUAAGUUGGGCACUCUGAAAGAACUGCCAGUGAUAAGCUGGAGGAAGGUGGGGAUGACGUCAAGUCCUCAUGGCCCUUACGUGUUGGGCUACACACGUGCUACAAUGGUAUCUACAACAGGAAGCGAAACAGCGAUGUUGAGCAAAUCCUUAAAAGAUACCUCAGUUCGGAUUGCACUCUGCAACUCGAGUGCAUGAAGCUGGAAUUACUAGUAAUCGUGGAUCAGCGUGCCACGGUGAAUGCGUUCCCGGGUCUUGUACACACCGCCCGUCACACCAUGGGAGUUGGUUCUACCUUAAGGCAAGGUUUAAUACCCUUGACCACGGUAUAGUCAGCGACUGGGGUGAAGUCGUAACAAGGUAACCGUA